UGCCCAGACAGUCUUGAUCUUCUGACCUUGUGAUCUGCCUGCCUCGGCCUCCCAAAGUGCUGGGAUUACAGCUUCCUAAUUCUUUAAAAUCACCUACAACAGGGGAACAGGGGUUGUUUGGCCUCUCAGCCAAAUCUGAUCUGAGACUUGUUGACUUGUUUUUGUGCAGUCCUUAAGCUAAGAAUUUAUGUAUAUGUUAUGCAUGUAAUACAUAAAAAUAACCUGUAAAUAUUAACUAUAUUUUAAAUAUUUUUAACUGGUUGAAGAAAAAUCACAUCAAAUGUAUCAUGAUGUGAAAAUUAUAUAAAAUUCAAUUUUUAGUGUUCAUAAAUAUUUUUAGUCCUUAAGCUAAGGAGGUAUGGAAGCAUGUGAAAGAGACAGAGAACCAGAAUAAGAGGGUGGCGUUGUGGUUGUGGUUGCUG
Molecule: long non-coding RNA, 422 nt
Organism: Sapajus apella (tufted capuchin)
Lineage: Eukaryota; Metazoa; Chordata; Mammalia; Primates; Cebidae
Exons: 2
Source: RefSeq, a predicted model, not a curated record